GCAAGAAACUUGGGUUUGAUACCUGAAUAAGAAAGAUCCCCUGGAGAAGGAAAUGGCAACCCACUCCAGUAUUCAUACCUGAGAAAUCCUAUGGACAGAGGAGCCUGGUGCGCCAUAAUCCGUGGAGUGGCAGAGUGACCGGAGCGACCAAACAACACCUCUCCUUAGGGACACUAUGCUUACAGCUGUGACACUGGCGUUGCUGUGACCAGGAAUUUGAGAUACACCUCCCAUUUUACAAAAAUCUCUGGAGGAUUUCCUGUGUGCCAGGCUCCGUGAUGGGCGCUGGGGUAUAAAGCGAGCAAGACAGACCAGCUCCCUGCUUACAGGAAGCUUCUAGUCAGGGACACAGUCCAUCCACAAGAAACAAGUAUGCCUCUGAUUUCAGAUAAUGAGAGUGCUAUGGAGAAAAUACACAGUUGUACAGGAGACAGAGUGUUGUUGGAAGUGGAUCCUGCCUGCUAUUCAUCACCGUGAGAUAGCAGAUACAACGGCAAGCAUGUGGGAUUUGAAAACGGACUGCCCGGCUCCAAGUCCAGCCUCUGUCACUUAUCAGCUAUGACCUUAGGACACUCCUGUGAUGAGACCCCUGCAAGGCUUUUGGUUCUCAGACAUCUAAGAGGGAAGAAGACAACUGUGUGUCUCAUGUUUUCAUCCACCUGGAAAGGAGGGGAGAACUGACUCCACAUUGGAUCUGCCUCUUUACGUUAACCUUUGCUUCUUGUGGCCUUGUUUGCUGAAAGGACACUGUUUUUACAUAAUGGUCUGCCUUGGGGAACCCUGCCCCUCUGCCUGAAUAUCAAGGCUCCUUUGCUCAGGACCCUAUCCACCUGUGGAUAGCUACAGGAAGGAAGAAGUUAACACACCCCCUCGCAGAAGCUUGCCACUCUAGGACGUGUUUGCAAGAUUAAUGGCCUUUUUACUUUGCUUCCUCACCUCUCCUUCUCACCCUUGUUCUGUACAAGAGCCUGGCUUCCAGACCCAGACAAGAUGGUUAUUUUGAGACAUUAGUCUGCCAUCUUCUCGGGGCCAGCUUUCCAAAUAAAGUUGUAUUCCUUCCCUCGA
Molecule: long non-coding RNA, 1065 nt
Organism: Bos taurus (domestic cattle)
Lineage: Eukaryota; Metazoa; Chordata; Mammalia; Artiodactyla; Bovidae
Source: Ensembl